UAGAGGAAGUAAAAGUGGUAACAAGGUUUCCGUAGGUGAGCCUGCGGAAGGAUCAUUACUGAAGGCUUAGAGGGUUUGAGACUGUGUCAUUAAUGGCAUGUGCUCGACUCUUACUCUUUUUAUUUAUCCAUAACACCUUUUGUGCACCAUGGGACAAUAUAAAGUCCCCUUUUUCUAUACAAACACCAAGUUAUAUGCAUGUCAUUAUAUGCUCUAAGGAGUACUAUACAACUUUCAACAACGGAUCUCUUGGCUUUCGCAUCGAUGAAGAACGCAGCGAAUGUGCGAGACGUAAUGUGAAUUGCAGAAUUCAGUGAAUCAUCGAAUCUUUGAACGCAUCUUGCGCUCCUUGGUAUUCCGAGGAGCAUGCCUGUUUGAGUGUCGUGAAAUACUCUCAAUUUCAAUCUUUUUGUUUGAAAUUGGAUUUGAAUGUUGUUGUGAAUCAUUCAUGACUCGUUCUAAAUGCAUUAGCGAUCUGCCUUUGAUCACACAACAAUGUGAUAAGUAAAAGCAUUGUUAGAUUGAAGUGGAGAUGGCUUCUAACUGUCUUAAUGGACAAUAACAUUAUUUGACCUCAAAUCAGGUAGGACUACCCGCUGAACUUAAGCAUAUCAAUAAGCGGAGGAAAAGAAACU
This 635-nucleotide ribosomal RNA is filed under the name Geastrum pseudostriatus. RNAcentral's name for it is "eukaryotic LSU rRNA". The stretch from base 230 to 384 matches the Rfam family "5.8S ribosomal RNA". The record is from RNAcentral. Lineage: Eukaryota; Fungi; Basidiomycota; Agaricomycetes; Geastrales; Geastraceae.